CAGCCGCCGCGGUAAUACAGAGGGUGCGAGCGUUAAUCGGAUUUACUGGGCGUAAAGCGUGCGUAGGCGGCUUUUUAAGUCGUAUGUGAAAUCCCUGAGCUUAACUUAGGAAUUGCAUUCGAUACUGGGAAGCUAGAGUAUGGGAGAGGAUGGUAGAAUUCCAGGUGUAGCGGUGAAAUGCGUAGAGAUCUGGAGGAAUACCGAUGGCGAAGGCAGCCAUCUGGCCUAAUACUGACGCUGAGGUACGAAAGCAUGGGGAGCAAACAGGAUUAGAUACCCCAGUAGUCCCUGUCUCUUAUAC
RNAcentral lists this ribosomal RNA (301 nucleotides) under uncultured bacterium. RNAcentral's name for it is "partial 16S ribosomal RNA". It matches the Rfam family "Bacterial small subunit ribosomal RNA", at positions 509 to 807 of the family's 1533-position model. The record is from RNAcentral.